AGUGGAGCUUGCUCCAUGAUUCAGCGGCGGACGGGUGAGUAAUGCCUAGGAAUCUGCCUGGUAGUGGGGGAUAACGUUUCGAAAGGAACGCUAAUACCGCAUACGUCCUACGGGAGAAAGUGGGGGAUCUUCGGACCUCACGCUAUCAGAUGAGCCUAGGUCGGAUUAGCUAGUUGGUGGGGUAAUGGCCCACCAAGGCGACGAUCCGUAACUGGUCUGAGAGGAUGAUCAGUCACACUGGAACUGAGACACGGUCCAGACUCCUACGGGAGGCAGCAGUGGGGAAUAUUGGACAAUGGGCGAAAGCCUGAUCCAGCCAUGCCGCGUGUGUGAAGAAGGUCUUCGGAUUGUAAAGCACUUUAAGUUGGGAGGAAGGGCAGUAAGUUAAUACCUUGCUGUUUUGACGUUACCAACAGAAUAAGCACCGGCUAACUUCGUGCCAGCAGCCGCGGUAAUACGAAGGGUGCAAGCGUUAAUCGGAAUUACUGGGCG
This 492-nucleotide ribosomal RNA is filed under the name Metapseudomonas otitidis. RNAcentral describes it as "bacterial SSU rRNA". It matches the Rfam family "Bacterial small subunit ribosomal RNA", at positions 72 to 560 of the family's 1533-position model. The record is from RNAcentral. Lineage: Bacteria; Pseudomonadati; Pseudomonadota; Gammaproteobacteria; Pseudomonadales; Pseudomonadaceae.